CAGUCGCCGCGGUAAUACAGAGGGUGCGAGCGUUAAUCGGAUUUACUGGGCGUAAAGCGUGCGUAGGCGGCUUCUUAAGUCGGAUGUGAAAUCCCUGAGCUUAACUUAGGAAUUGCAUUCGAUACUGGGAAGCUAGAGUAUGGGAGAGGAUGGUAGAAUUCCAGGUGUAGCGGUGAAAUGCGUAGAGAUCUGGAGGAAUACCGAUGGCGAAGGCAGCCAUCUGGCCUAAUACUGACGCUGAGGUAUGAAAGCAUGGGGAGCAAACAGGAUUAGAGACCCGCGUAGUCCCUGUCCUUAUACA
RNAcentral lists this ribosomal RNA (301 nucleotides) under uncultured bacterium. Its description in RNAcentral is "partial 16S ribosomal RNA". It matches the Rfam family "Bacterial small subunit ribosomal RNA", at positions 509 to 809 of the family's 1533-position model. The record is from RNAcentral.